This 122-nucleotide ribosomal RNA is filed under the name Pteropus alecto (black flying fox). The record is from RNAcentral. Lineage: Eukaryota; Metazoa; Chordata; Mammalia; Chiroptera; Pteropodidae.
GUCUAUGGCCAUACUACUCUGAACAUGCCGAUCUCGUCUGAUCUUGGAAGCUGAGUAGGGUCGGGCCUGGUUAGUGCUUGGAAGGGAGACCACCUAGGAAGAACGAACAGAUGCUGUAGUUU